This is a non-coding RNA of Aegilops tauschii subsp. strangulata, 689 nucleotides long. The record is from RefSeq and is a predicted model, not a curated record. NCBI's taxonomy places the organism in Eukaryota, Viridiplantae, Streptophyta, Magnoliopsida, Poales, Poaceae.
ACAUAAGCUCAUUUGAAAAUCACAUAUUAGUAGCAGCAAAGUUUAGUGCAAUAGUUGUCUGUCAACGUUCAGUGCCAGCAGCAAAAUUCAGUUAUGCACAAGCACCAUUUAGCAGCAGCAUAGGUAUAUAGCAUUCAUUUAGCGGCAGAAAAAUCCAGUUCAUUUUACUCGCUGCUCUCUUUGGCAUUUACAGUCUUGGACUCUCUGGCUGCUCCUCCUCUGGCCAAUGGUGAAGCGCCCGACGAGGCCAGCAGCAAGGCAAUGCGGCGGGAUCAUGCUCCCGUGAUCGUCUGAGGCGCCUGCUCUGCUGCUCAAGGGCGUCCGUGGAAUGCCCAGUCCUGACUAUUGAAGGAGCUACAUGUAGAAGAAGAAAACACUUGUAGACCAGUGAUUCCCAUACUUGUAGAGCUUGUAUCAACUAAGCUUGUAUUACGUCUAACUUGUAGAACUUGUAAAGUACUAUAUAUGUAACAACUUGUAGUACUUGUCAUUUGUAGAACUUGUACUGAAUCUGGCUAUUGUUAUUUGAAGUAUCAUGUGUGUUUUUUGCUUGCCAAUUUAACUAUUGGUUAUUUUCUUACUGAUAAAUCGAAAUGUGAAGAAUCGAGGCCUAAUAGCUGGGACCCACUUAUCAGAACCUGACAAGUGGGACCUGUUUGACUAGUGGACCCAUUUUAUAAAAAAGAAAA